CUAUGCUUAGCCCUAAACUUAGAUAGUUAUCCUAAACAAAACUAUCCGCCAGAGAACUACCAGCAACAGCUUAAAACUCAAAGGACUUGGCGGUGCUUUACAUCCCCCUAGAGGAGCCUGUUCUAUAAUCGAUAAACCCCGAUAUACCUCACCAUCUCUUGCUAAUUCAGCCUAUAUACCGCCAUCUU
RNAcentral lists this ribosomal RNA (188 nucleotides) under Felis silvestris (wild cat). RNAcentral's name for it is "partial small subunit ribosomal RNA". Lineage: Eukaryota; Metazoa; Chordata; Mammalia; Carnivora; Felidae. The record is from RNAcentral.